AAAAAUCUUACUAAAAAUAGUUAGCCAAAUUUCCUAAUCAAAAUUAAUUAGCGACAGGAUUGAUGAAUACUUCACAUUCAUUAUUUAAAAAUAAACAUGACUUUAAUGAAAAACUAUGCAUAGUAUUAAAAUAAAUUCUUCAUAUUGUUAUUUUUUAGUUAGAUAUCUUUUGCGCAUAAUUUUAAAUAUUAAUUGUUCGAGUUGGAUAACUAGAUAUGAUCUUAAGGAAAGAGUAAUAAAACUUUUUUCGAUGUCUUUAGAAUCGAAUUCAAACCUAAAAC
Molecule: long non-coding RNA, 281 nt
Filed under: Lathyrus oleraceus (garden pea)
Lineage: Eukaryota; Viridiplantae; Streptophyta; Magnoliopsida; Fabales; Fabaceae
Description: Pisum sativum (pea) long non-coding RNA (PSAT_LNC028366)
Source: RNAcentral